CUCCUGAGCAUGACCAGUCCCAGGACACCCCUUGGCCCAGGGAUAAAUGGUUUGCUCACCUCCUGUGAUGUUUCUCAAGUGUUGUCUGCAACCGUCACUCGAGCUGUCAGCUGGCAGGUCCGCAGUGGGAGCAUCUGCUGAGCAGAAGGGAAGUGGGGGGAGCUUGAAGCUGGGAAGGGGGUGAGAACCUCCCACUCCGUCCACGUCAUCCCUUCAUCCUGAGCCUACAAGCUGAGGAAAUCCUGCCCCAGGAUCAGGAUGGCAGGCACGUGACAAACUGAAGUGCACCGAGGCUGAGGACGAAGAAAGGACCAAUUGAUUGGAUUCUUGGAGCAACAGGCCCAACAGUGAGGCAUAAGUGUGGCAGGUGCCUUCCCUGAGUCCAGUCACUGUCCCCCACUCCCCCUCUCUCCUGAGAGCCCCUAACGAAGUCAGAAUAAACCACUGCAUUAACUUA
Molecule: long non-coding RNA, 457 nt
Organism: Lemur catta (Ring-tailed lemur)
Lineage: Eukaryota; Metazoa; Chordata; Mammalia; Primates; Lemuridae
Exons: 2
Source: RefSeq, a predicted model, not a curated record